GGUUGCGGACAGUGUCUGGUGGGUAGUUUGACUGGGGCGGUCUCCUCCUAAAGAGUAACGGAGGAGCACGAAGGUUGGCUAAUCCUGGUCGGACAUCAGGAGGUUAGUGCAAUGGCAUAAGCCAGCUUGACUGCGAGCGUGACGGCGCGAGCAGGUGCGAAAGCAGGUCAUAGUGAUCCGGUGGUUCUGAAUGGAAGGGCCAUCGCUCAACGGAUAAAAGGUACUCCGGGGAUAACAGGCUGAUACCGCCCAAGAGUUCAUAUCGACGGCGGUGUUUGGCACCUCGAUGUCGGCUCAUCACAUCCUGGGGCUGAAGUAGGUCCCAAGGGUAUGGCUGUUCGCCAUUUAAAGUGGUACGCGAGCUGGGUUUAGAACGUCGUGAGACAGUUCGGUCCCUAUCUGCCGUGGGCGCUGGAGAACUGAGGGGGGCUGCUCCUAGUACGAGAGGACCGGAGUGGACGCAUCACUGGUGUUCGGGUUGUCAUGCCAAUGGCACUGCCCGGUAGCUAAAUGCGGAAGAGAUAAGUGCUGAAAGCAUCUAAGCACGAAACUUGCCCCGAGAUGAGUUCUCCCUGACUCCUUGAGAGUCCUGAAGGAACGUUGAAGACGACGACGUUGAUAGGCCGGGUGUGUAAGCGCAGCGAUGCGUUGAGCUAACCGGUACUAAUGAACCGUGAGGCUUAACCUUACAACGCCGAAGGUGUUU
RNAcentral lists this ribosomal RNA (706 nucleotides) under Escherichia coli. RNAcentral's name for it is "bacterial LSU rRNA". It matches the Rfam family "Bacterial large subunit ribosomal RNA", at positions 2243 to 2925 of the family's 2925-position model. The record is from RNAcentral. Lineage: Bacteria; Pseudomonadati; Pseudomonadota; Gammaproteobacteria; Enterobacterales; Enterobacteriaceae.